CGAAAUGCGAUAAGUAAUGUGAAUUGCAGAAUUCAGUGAAUCAUCGAAUCUUUGAACGCACCUUGCGCUCCUUGGUAUUCCUUGGAGCAUGCCUGUUUGAGUAUCAUGAAAUCUUCAAAGUAAAUCUUUUGUUAACUCAAUUGGUUUCUACUUUGGUAUUGGAGGUCUUUGCAGCUUCACACCUGCUCCUCUUUGUUCAUUAGCUGGAUCUCAGUGUUAUGCUUGGUUCCACUCGGCGUGAUAAGUUAUCUAUCGCUGAGGACACUGUAAAAGGUGGCCAAGGUAAAUGCAGAUGAACCGCUUCUAAUAGUCCAUUGACUUGGACAAUACUUUUAUUAUCUGAUCUCAAAACAGGUAGGACUACCCGCUGAACUUAAGC
RNAcentral lists this unclassified non-coding RNA (379 nucleotides) under plant metagenome. RNAcentral describes it as "partial contains 5.8S ribosomal RNA, internal transcribed spacer 2, and large subunit ribosomal RNA". The stretch from base 1 to 106 matches the Rfam family "5.8S ribosomal RNA", at positions 49 to 154 of the family's 154-position model. The record is from RNAcentral.